GACGAACGCGGCGGCGUGCCUAAUACAUGCAAGUAGAACGCUGAAGGAGGAGCUUGCUUCUCCGGAUGAGUUGCGAACGGGUGAGUAACGCGUAGGUAACCUGCCUGGUAGCGGGGGAUAACUAUUGGAAACGAUAGCUAAUACCGCAUAACAGUAGAUGUUGCAUGACAUUUGCUUAAAAGGUGCAAUUGCAUCACUACCAGAUGGACCUGCGUUGUAUUAGCUAGUUGGUGGGGUAACGGCUCACCAAGGCGACGAUACAUAGCCGACCUGAGAGGGUGAUCGGCCACACUGGGACUGAGACACGGCCCAGACUCCUACGGGAGGCAGCAGUAGGGAAUCUUCGGCAAUGGACGGAAGUCUGACCGAGCAACGCCGCGUGAGUGAAGAAGGUUUUCGGAUCGUAAAGCUCUGUUGUAAGAGAAGAACGAGUGUGAGAGUGGAAAAGUUCACACUGUGACGG
Molecule: ribosomal RNA, 463 nt
Filed under: Streptococcus mitis
Lineage: Bacteria; Bacillati; Bacillota; Bacilli; Lactobacillales; Streptococcaceae
Description: bacterial SSU rRNA
Rfam family: Bacterial small subunit ribosomal RNA
Source: RNAcentral